GAUGAACGCUGGCGGCGUGCCUAACACAUGCAAGUCGAACGGACCUUGCUUUUUCGGAGUACUUGUACAAAGAAAGAGCGCUGGUUAGUGGCGGACGGGUGAGUAACACGUGGGUAAUUAACCUUCUAGACUGGGAUAACAACGGGAAACUGGUGCUAAUACCGGAUAAGAUUCAUGAGCGGCAUCGCUUAUGGAUGAAAAGAGGCCUCUCCAUGGAAGCUCCUGCUAGAAGACAAGCCCGCGGCUGAUUAGCUAGUUGGUGAGGUAAUGGCUCACCAAGGCAACGAUCAGUAGCCGGCCUGAGAGGGUGAACGGCCACACUGGGACUGAGACACGGCCCAGACUCCUACGGGAGGCAGCAGUGGGGAAUAUUGCGCAAUGGGGGAAACCCUGACGCAGCAACGCCGCGUGAAUGAAGAAGGCCUUCGGGUUGUAAAGUUCUGUCAAUUGGGAAGAAACCUCCAAGGUCAAUAGUCUUGGAGAUGACGGUACCUAAAAAGGAAGCUCCGGCUAACUACGU
This 520-nucleotide ribosomal RNA is filed under the name uncultured Bacillota bacterium. RNAcentral's name for it is "bacterial SSU rRNA". It matches the Rfam family "Bacterial small subunit ribosomal RNA", at positions 28 to 506 of the family's 1533-position model. Lineage: Bacteria; Bacillati; Bacillota. The record is from RNAcentral.